CUCUCUCUCCCCCAUAGCCGCCCCCCCCCUCUCUCUCUCUCUCUCUUUCUCCCCCAUAACCGCCCAAACUUCUCUCUAUCCCUCUUUCUCUCUCUCUCACUCACCCGUUCGCACCACCGUCGUCGUCGUCGCCCCCCUCGCAUCGUCAUCGUCCCUCCCUCCACCGCUCGCACAGCUAUCACCUCCACCACCAGCCACAGACCACACGGUUGCCCCCCCCCACCCCCGUCAUCGCCCCGAUCCGCCAGCAUCCUCGACUCGCGAGGUUCAGCCAUGGCUGUCCUCUUCCUCUAUUUUUCUGCAUAAAAUAUAUAUGUGUUUGUGCAUAUAUAUAGAUAUAUAUCUGUGUUUGUGUGUAUAUAUGUAUGUGUUUUUAUUCACCCAUUUUCUCUCUCUCUCCCCCAUAGCCACCCAAACUUCACCCGUUCUCUCUCUCUCUCUCACCCUUCAUUUUCGAGCAGAGCUAGAUUCGGCUACCAGCAGCGGUAGCGGCAGCUCUAGUGAUGGCAACGACGGCUAUGGAUCCCUCCUCCAGCAUCCAGCGACCGGCCGCUGUCGAGAGCUCGCGCUUCAUCAUGCUUCCCUCUCCAGCAUUUCAAGUCAUCUAUUGGGGCAACUGGAAGCUUUUCAUGCCUUCUGGACCACCGGCACAACCACGACGAAGAAUGGCAUAACCCCGAACCUGGCAUUUAAACUAUUGCAAGAAAUAGACACUAUAACCUUGGUCCAUACUUCACAUAUAUUUGGUAUGAAAUAGUUACUGUUUCAAAUACUUGAGGAGCUUGAUAAGCAUGUAUUUGUCGCUAUCUUUUUUUCCCUCCCUACUCUGCUUUUCCCUUUUUAUUUUGCUUUUAUUCAAAGACAUUGAAAGUGAAUAUCAUGGAAUGUGGAUGAAUUUGGUGCC
This is a long non-coding RNA of Diospyros lotus (date-plum), 904 nucleotides long. RefSeq lists it as uncharacterized. Lineage: Eukaryota; Viridiplantae; Streptophyta; Magnoliopsida; Ericales; Ebenaceae. The transcript has 3 exons. The record is from RefSeq and is a predicted model, not a curated record.